This 449-nucleotide ribosomal RNA is filed under the name uncultured bacterium. RNAcentral's name for it is "partial 16S ribosomal RNA". It matches the Rfam family "Bacterial small subunit ribosomal RNA", at positions 29 to 523 of the family's 1533-position model. The record is from RNAcentral.
AACGAACGCUGGCGGCAGGGCUAACACAUGCAAGUCGAACGAACCGUUUACGGUGAGUGGCGCACGGGUGCGUAACGCGUGGGCACGUACCCUUAGGUAGGGAACAAGGUCGGGGAACUGGCGCUAAUACCCUAUAAUGACUUUGGUCCAAAGAUGUAUCGCGUAGGGAUCGGCCCGCGUCUGAUGAGUUAGUUGAUGAGGUAACGGCUCACCAAGACGAUGAUCAGUAGCCGGUCGGGGAGGAUGAACAGCCACACUGGGACUGAGACACGGCCCAGACUCCUACGGGAGGCAGCAGUGGAGAAUAUUGGACAAUGGGGGGAACCCUGAUCCAGCCAUGCCGCGUGAGUGAAGAAGGCCUUAGGGUUGUAAAGCUCUUUCAAUAGGGAAGAUAAUGACGGUAGCUAUAGAAGAAGCUCCGGCUAAAUUCGUGCCAGCAGCCGCCGCCG